GACGAACGCUGGCGGCGUGCUUAACACAUGCAAGUCGAACGGAAAGGCCCUGCUUUUGUGGGGUGCUCGAGUGGCGAACGGGUGAGUAACACGUGAGUAACCUGCCCUUGACUUUGGGAUAACUUCAGGAAACUGGGGCUAAUACCGGAUAGGAGCUCCUGCUGCAUGGUGGGGGUUGGAAAGUUUCGGCGGUUGGGGAUGGACUCGCGGCUUAUCAGCUUGUUGGUGGGGUAGUGGCUUACCAAGGCUUUGACGGGUAGCCGGCCUGAGAGGGUGACCGGCACAUUGGGAAUGAGAUUCCGCCCAGACUUCUUCCGGAGGGAGGAGUUGGGAAUAAUGCACCAUGGGCGGAAGCCUGAUGCAGCAACGCCGCGUGCGGGAUGACGGCCUUCGGGUUGUAAACCGCUUUCGCCUGUGACGAAGCGUGAGUGACGGUAAUGGGUAAAGAAGCACCGGCUAACUACGUG
Molecule: ribosomal RNA, 467 nt
Filed under: uncultured bacterium
Lineage: Bacteria
Description: partial 16S ribosomal RNA
Rfam family: Bacterial small subunit ribosomal RNA
Source: RNAcentral